AAUAAGAGCGUAUGGGGAAUGCCUAGGCUCUCAGAGGCGAAGAAGGACGUGAUAAGCUGCGAAAAGCUGCGGGGAUUGGCACAUACAAAUUGAUCCGCAGGUAUCCGAAUGGGGCAACCCACCAUAUUGAAGAUAUGGUAUCCGCAAGGAGGCAAACCCGGGGAACUGAAACAUCUAAGUACCCGGAGGAAGAGAAAACAAUAGUGAUUCCGAUAGUAGCGGCGAGCGAAAUCGGAUUAGCCCAAACCGAACAGUUUACGGACUGUUCGGGGUUGUAGGACCACGACAUUUGGUGCUUUACGAAUAAGAACACGUUGGAAAGCGUGGCCAUAGACGGUGAUAGCCCGGUAUUAGUAAGGACAGUUACCGAUAGUGGUAUCCUGAGUAGUGCGGGGCACGUGAAACCCUGUAUGAAUCCGGCGGGACCAUCCGCCAAGGCUAAAUACUCCUGAGAGACCGAUAGUGAACCAGUACCGUGAGGGAAAGGUGAAAAGAACCGUGAACAACGGAGUGAAAUAGAACCUGAAACCAUACGCUUACAAGCGGUCGGAGCGGCGCAAGCUGUGACGGCGUGCCUUUUGCAUAAUGAGCCUACGAGUUACUGUUGCCAGCAAGGUUAAGGUCCUUAGGACCGGAGCCGCAGCGAAAGCGAGUCUGAAUAGGGCGCUUUAGUUGGUAGUAGUAGACGCGAAACCGUGUGAUCUACCCUUGGGCAGGUUGAAGUUUGGGUAACACUAAAUGGAGGACCGAACCCGUUGACGUUGAAAAGUCUUGGGAUGACCUGAGGGUAGGGGUGAAAGGCCAAUCAAACUCGGAAAUAGCUCGUACUCCCCGAAAUGCAUUUAGGUGCAGCGUUGAUUUAAAGUUUUAUAGAGGUAGAGCUACUGAUUGGAUGCGGGGGCUUCACCGCCUACCAAUUCCUGACAAACUCCGAAUGCUAUAAAAUGUUGAUCAGCAGUGAGGGCAUGGGUGCUAAGGUCCAUGUCCGAGAGGGAAAGAACCCAGACCAUCAGCUAAGGUCCCCAAAUGUAUGUUAAGUUGAAAAAACGAGGUUGGACUGCACAGACAGCUAGGAUGUUGGCUUGGAAGCAGCCAUUCAUUUAAAGAGUGCGUAACAGCUCACUAGUCGAGCGGUCCGGCAUGGAUAAUAAUCGGGCAUAAACAUACUACCGAAGCUAUGGACUUGUAAUUUAUUAUAAGUGGUAGGGGAGCAUUCUGUUUGCGCCGAAGGUGCGUCGCGAGGCGUGCUGGAGCGGACAGAAAAGAAAAUGUAGGCAUAAGUAACGAUAAUGCGGGCGAGAAACCCGCACUCCGAAAGACUAAGGUUUCCUCAGCUAUGCUAAUCAGCUGAGGGUUAGUCGGGGCCUAACGCGAACCCGAAAGGGGUAGUGGAUGGACAACAGGUUAAUAUUCCUGUACCUGCUCACGUUAAAAGUGACGGAGGCGAAAAUUAGGUGCGCACUGACGGAAUAGUGCGUUGAAGCCAGUGGUAACACGGCGAUAGUACACUGAGGCCUCGGCCAAGGUGAUAAUCCUGAGGAUCGACUUCCAAGAAAAGCGAGUGAAGCAGCCCGUACCCUAAACCGACACAGGUGGUUGGGAUGAGAAUUCUAAGGAGCUCGAGAGAUUCAUGGCUAAGGAACUAGGCAAAAUCGACCCGUAACUUCGGGAGAAGGGUCGCCCCCAGUAAUGGGGGCCGCAGUGAAGAGGUCCAGGCGACUGUUUAUCAAAAACACAGGGCUCUGCAAAAUCGAAAGAUGAAGUAUAGGGCCUGACACCUGCCCGGUGCUGGAAGGUUAAGAGGAGAUGUCAUCCUUCGGGAGAAGCAUUGAAUUGAAGCCCCAGUAAACGGCGGCCGUAACUAUAACGGUCCUAAGGUAGCGAAAUUCCUUGUCGGGUAAGUUCCGAC
Molecule: ribosomal RNA, 1909 nt
Filed under: Aequorivita antarctica
Lineage: Bacteria; Pseudomonadati; Bacteroidota; Flavobacteriia; Flavobacteriales; Flavobacteriaceae
Description: bacterial LSU rRNA
Rfam family: Bacterial large subunit ribosomal RNA
Source: RNAcentral